This 1478-nucleotide small RNA is filed under the name Arabidopsis thaliana (thale cress). Its description in RNAcentral is "ATSL272140". The record is from RNAcentral. Lineage: Eukaryota; Viridiplantae; Streptophyta; Magnoliopsida; Brassicales; Brassicaceae.
UCGCUUUAUAUUUAGUUUCCUUAUUUGUUUCAUUUCUCGCUUAUAUAAACUGCCUCUUAGGGUUUUCCCUAGGGCAUCCGUUAUUAUCUCGCUUUUACAUUUUUGUAACUUUGAGAGCCGCAGUGUUUCUCCUGCGACUUUGUAUUUUCACUUUCAAGUAUUUGAUAUUCAGUUUUUGUCUAAGUCUUUCAUCAUUUCUGUUAUCAUGUUUUCAAUCGUUGCUUUGAUAUUGUCUUUGAUUAUGUCUGAGUAGUGAACUGUAUUUCUGAGGAUGAGAUAGAAUAGUUGUGGUUUACUUGGUCAUUUUAGGUGGUUGAGUUUAGAAUACUAGAAUCCCUUCUGGAUUAGUUGCGCUUAUUGCUUGUUUCACUGGCUAAUGUGGAAUAUGAGUCCAGACGUCAGCGCUCAGAAGGCGUUUAAUGGGCGUUGGAUCCUAUUAAUUCCAGAGAUAUAUGACUCUACCCCAAGGGAUUGGCUGUAGAGAGGGUAUUGGGUUUAACAUGUUGAUUCGAUAUUGCUUGCUUAGUUAGAGAUCGCUAAAGGGAUUUAGGUCAGUGUCUAGCUUUGUUUGAGGAUUUCUAUCACGGAAGUGAAUUAAUCUGUUGUUAAACUUCUUGUCUAGGGAUAGUUUCUGUGAAGUUUUGUCAACCGCCUGAAUAGAUUAAGGAGACCACACUAUUCGAUUACCCCAUCCUUAGGAAUCGUUUAUCCAUUUGAUUGCCUGUUAUCAUUUCUGCAUUGUUAUUCACAUGCCUGCUAUUGCCAUUUCUGCUUUUAGUUUCAUUUCAUUUCUGUUAUUGCAUACUAGGACUGUUAGAACCAACCAACUUUCUGCUUGGCUUGACUUAGAGCUUUCUGAUCAUAUCUCAUCUGUUUGCAUCACACCGGAUUGGAUGGACAUCCUAAAAUAUUACAACGACAAGAUAGUGUUUUAGGAUUAAUUGAGUAAAAUCCUACUAUCAAUUUGGCGUCGUUGCCAGUUUGGUGUAUGUUUGCUAUAUUUGAGAUCAUUAGAAACGUUAAGAUCAAGUUCGUUUUUGUUACACAAGUUACUAACAUUGUGCAUUUUCUGUCUUUGUGUUUCAGGUACCUUGCAACCCGCUUUCCAGACGCAUCUCUGAUUCGUCUGUUAUAGCCCGACUGCUAUCUGUUGCAUGCAUACACGGUCAUAAGGAAAUCAGAACCUCCUAUUCAACGAUAACAUCGACCGUAUUGCUCGCCAACUAAGAGAAUAAACAGAAACCAACACAAUGGCUGACGUUGUAGAUGAGCAAGAGCAACCUACCAACAUUGGUGCUGGUGACUUCCCUCACAACCACAACCAGCGUCAUGGAAUUGUUCCACCUCCAGUACAGAACAACAACUUUAAGAUCAAAAGCAGUCUCAUUGCAAUGGUUCAGGGGAACAAGUUUCAUGGCCUGCCAAUGGAGGAUCCGCUAGAUCAUCUUGACGAGUUCGAAAGGCUCUGUGACCUUACU